CAGGCCUGCUGAGCCCUCGCGCUGCACCUUCUGAAGCCCGGGCUCCGCCUCCUGAAGCCAGGGCGCCACACCAAGAGUGGCCCCCACUCGCUGCACCGAUCUUAGUUCCCUGACCAGGGAUCAAAUCCACAUCCCCUGCAUUGGGAGCACGGAGUCUUAACCACUGGACCACCAGGAAGGACCCUUCUUUAAUUGAUGGUGAUACAUGGAGAUAAAGACUUAGAGGCUGCUUUACUAAGUGGUAAGGAGGAUAACCACCCACAAUCUAGGAGCUAGAGCCUAGAAAGACGCUGGAGCAUUUCAACUGGGAAAUUACUGUGGGAGCCCAGGAGCUUUGAGGUGAAUUAUUCUGGCUCUGGAUACUUGAUAUUGGCUGUCAUGGCUGAAAAAGUUCUUCCAACAAUGUGCUAACCAAAAUGGAAAAAUUAUAUCUUUCACUGUGCUUUCAAAAUUGUAAUUGUCAUUGUUUAAAGUCAGACAUCUUGGAGUGAGAAGUCAAGUGGGCCUUAGGAAGCAUCUCUACCAACGAAGCUA
Long non-coding RNA from Cervus elaphus (red deer), 534 nucleotides. RefSeq lists it as uncharacterized. The transcript has 3 exons. The record is from RefSeq and is a predicted model, not a curated record. Lineage: Eukaryota; Metazoa; Chordata; Mammalia; Artiodactyla; Cervidae.